This 29-nucleotide non-coding RNA is filed under the name Homo sapiens (human). The record is from RNAcentral. Lineage: Eukaryota; Metazoa; Chordata; Mammalia; Primates; Hominidae.
UAAGGUGAGAGCUUCUACUGAGAAAAGGA